This 253-nucleotide ribosomal RNA is filed under the name uncultured bacterium. RNAcentral describes it as "partial 16S ribosomal RNA". It matches the Rfam family "Bacterial small subunit ribosomal RNA", at positions 524 to 776 of the family's 1533-position model. The record is from RNAcentral.
UACGUAGGGUGCGAGCGUUAAUCGGAAUUACUGGGCGUAAAGCGUGCGCAGGCGGUUUUCCAAGACAGAUGUGAAAUCCCCGGGCUCAACCUGGGAAUGGCAUUUGUGACUGGAAGGCUAGAGUGUGUCAGAGGGGGGUAGAAUUCCACGUGUAGCAGUGAAAUGCGUAGAGAUGUGGAGGAAUACCGAUGGCGAAGGCAGCCUUCUGGGCCAACACUGACGCUCAUGCACGAAAGCGUGGGGAGCAAACAGG